Molecule: long non-coding RNA, 1536 nt
Filed under: Homo sapiens (human)
Lineage: Eukaryota; Metazoa; Chordata; Mammalia; Primates; Hominidae
Description: HSALNT0368801
Source: RNAcentral
AUAAAAUCUGGGAGCCCAAGCAGCAUAUUUGUGGGAUUUGUCUGACAGAACGCAAUGGAAACAGAGCGUGGCAUUCGCUCCAUCUCCCCCAGAUGUUCCAUAAGUUUCUGCUUCCAUCAGCAAUGUAAGGAAGUGCCCAAUUCCUCCUACCCCCACAUUACUGAGAAUCUUAUCAAAUUUUUUGAUCUUUUCUGAUUGGGUGAGUACUUAAUGUAUGUUUGAAAAAUAUGCAUAAGGUUGACAUAUAUUUAAAAGUUAUUUAUAUGUCCUUUGUUCAUAGGCUUUGCUCAUUCUUGCUGUUUUUUUUCUUACUGGUUUUUUUUUUUUUUUUUUUGAGAUGGAGUCUCACUCUGUUGCCCAGGCUGGAGUGCAGUGGUGCGAUCUCGGCUCACUGCAAGCUCCGCCUCCCGGGUUCAUGCCAUUCUCCUGCCUCAGCCUCCCGUGUAGCUGGGACUACAGGUGCCCGCCACCACGCCUGGCUAAUUUUUGUAUUUUUUUUUUAGUAGAGAUGGGGGUUUCACCAUGUUAGCCAGGAUGGUCUUGAUCUCCUGACCUCGUGAUCAGCCUGCCUCGGCCUCCCAGAGUGCUGGGAUUAGAGGCAUGAGCCACCACACCCAGCCUUUUUCUUACUGAUUUGUGAGUUUUUUAUGCGUUAAGAAAAACAUCCUUGUCUGUAAUCUGUGUCACAAUAUUUUUCUCAUUUUGUCAAUUAUCUUUUGACUUUGUUCAUGCUGAUUUACUGACAUGUAUAUAGAUUUAAGGUCAUUUUUAUUUGGUCAUAUCUAUUAAUCUUUUCUAUUAUAGCUUCUGGGUUUUGUGUGAUGUUUGGAAAGGCUCUCUCUACUUCUUUGUGGUUAAAGUUCUUUAAUUUUUUCCUUCUACUAGUUUUAUGGUUUCAUUUUUUAUGUUUAAAUCUGACUCAUUUGGAAUUUACUUUUGUGUAAGUUGGGAACUAAGGUUCCAUCUUAACAUUUAUUUUUUCCAAAUAGUUACCUAGUGGUGCCGGCACCAUUUAUUAAUCUUUCCCCUAUUGAUUAAAAAUGCCACCUUUAUAAUCACAUACUAAAUCCCUGUAUGUUUUAGGGUGAAUAUCUGGACUUUUGGAGUACAACUGAACCACUACCCUCAUUCAGGUGGGGGCAGAGAGGCCAGAGCUCUGCACACUGGUUUCCUCUCUGGUUGCCAGCAUUACCCCUGAAGUUGCUUUGGGGGAGAUCUUGGGGUUCUGGGGAACAGAGUUUGGAAACUACCAGUCUGGACCACUCUUUUUUUUCACUGAUGAAAAUCUGUAGCUCGGUGUAAUUAAGUGACUUAAAAUAACAUUCUGACAUUGGCAAGUUGCCAUAUGUUCCCAAUCCCCUAACCCCCACCAUGUGCAUGGAGUAUAUCAUUGGUGUAGGAGGCUCACUGAUAUGAGAAUCACAGGAGAGCCCACAGCUGCUGUUAGGGACUGCUAUAGUGUCAGAAGGCCUCAUCCAUGUAUUUGGGGGAAAGAAUGUUCCAGAAAGAGGAAACAGCAAGUACAAAGUUUCUGAG